RNAcentral lists this ribosomal RNA (99 nucleotides) under Staphylococcus arlettae. Its description in RNAcentral is "partial 16S ribosomal RNA". It matches the Rfam family "Bacterial small subunit ribosomal RNA", at positions 1 to 93 of the family's 1533-position model. Lineage: Bacteria; Bacillati; Bacillota; Bacilli; Caryophanales; Staphylococcaceae. The record is from RNAcentral. RNAcentral also lists the same sequence under 1 other name.
UUUAUGGAGAGUUUGAUCCUGGCUCAGGAUGAACGCUGGCGGCGUGCCUAAUACAUGCAAGUCGAGCGAACAGAUAAGGAGCUUGCUCCUUUGACGUUA